Molecule: non-coding RNA, 31 nt
Filed under: Rattus norvegicus (Norway rat)
Lineage: Eukaryota; Metazoa; Chordata; Mammalia; Rodentia; Muridae
Source: RNAcentral
UCCCAGUAAGGAAGGAACUGCUAAUUGGUGU